Molecule: long non-coding RNA, 1314 nt
Filed under: Selaginella moellendorffii
Lineage: Eukaryota; Viridiplantae; Streptophyta; Lycopodiopsida; Selaginellales; Selaginellaceae
Description: long non-coding RNA (SMOE_LNC001555)
Source: RNAcentral
UCAGGUCCUGUCCACUGCCGGCCUCAAAGUUUUGCUGCUGGAGAAAGGCCGCUACUUUGCGAGAGAAGAUCUGUCCCUGCUCGAGCAACCGACUUUCAGCGAGCUCUACGAAGAAGGCGGAUUUCUGGCAACUGACGACUUUGCUUACUCGCUCAUGUCCGCUGCGGUGGUGGGAGGCGGAACUUGCAUCAACUGGGCGGCAUCCUUCCAGACUCCGCCUCACGUCCGCCAGGAAUGGGCCGAGGAGUGUGGACUUCCCAUGUUUACCAGCGAAAAGUACCAGCAAGCUCUGGAUCUCAUCUGCAAGAAGAUCGGUGUUCAGCCCAAUGCAACAGUGGAAAGCUUCCAGAAUGCAGUCCUGCGCAAGGGAUGCGUGGAGCUUGGCCUCCACAGCGCAAAUAUACCGAGAAACGCGAGCCCGGAACACUAUUGCGGCUGCUGUAACAUGGGAUGCCGACGGGGUAUGAAGCAAGCGACCACCGAGACUUGGCUGGUGGAAGCAGCGGCAGCGGGAGCGACCAUCCUCACGGGAACAAAAGGCUUGCAAGUGCUAUUCACGGACGGGACCAAGAAGGAGAAGAAAGCCAUCGGUGUGUUGGCCACCACCUUGGGUGACCAGCCAAAGAAGUUGAUCAUCGAGGCCAAAGCGACCAUCGUGUCCACCGGCUCUAUCAUGACACCACCGCUGCUCAUCAGGAGUGGACUCACGAAUCCAAACAUUGGGAAACACUUCCACAUCCAUCCGGUGCUGGGAGUGUGGGGAUACUUCCCGGACGAGGAGAAGAACCCGGGAGCUAGCUUCGAAGGAGGGAUCAUGACGGCCUUUAGCGCGGUGAGCGCACGCUGGGACACAGUCGGCUAUGGUCCGGUGCUCAUGACACCGAGCUUCCACCCCGGACAGUACGCUUCGGUGGUAACUUGGAAAUCUGGAGCUCAGCACAAGGAGGCAAUGCGGAGGUUCAGACGAGUCUCUCAGGUGGUGCUCUUCACUCGUGACAAAGGAGCUGGGAGUAUCGGAGUGGACAAGAAGACGGACGAGAUCACGAUCGAGUAUACUCUAGAUCCAUACGACGAGGAGGUUUGCCUGGAGGGAGCGGAGAAAGGACUUCGCGUGCUCAAGGCAGCGGGGGCAGUGGAAGUCGGGACGCACCACCACGACGCUGAAAGCUUCACGUUUGGCAAGUCGACAAGCUGGAAAGAAGAGAAGAAGCGGUUCGAGGAGUACCUUGCGAGCGUGAGAAGCAAAGGGCUCAAGCCCAACCGGCUGCCAAUGGUAUCGUAUCACUUGCUGGGAUCGUGCCGGAUGGGAUCCAG